UACGUAGGUGGCAAGCGUUGUUCGGAAUUAUUGGGCGUAAAGGGCGCGUAGGCGGUUUGUUAAGUCAGCUGUGAAAGCCCGGGGCUCAACCCCGGAGAGUCGACUGAUACUGGCAGACUAGAGUACGGAAGAGGUAGCUGGAAUUCCCGGUGUAGCGGUGAAAUGCGUAGAGAUCAGGAGGAACACCGGUGGCGAAGGCGGCAUCCUGGACCGGCAUUGACGCUGAGGCGCGAAAGCCAGGGGAGCAAACGGG
Molecule: ribosomal RNA, 253 nt
Filed under: uncultured bacterium
Lineage: Bacteria
Description: partial 16S ribosomal RNA
Rfam family: Bacterial small subunit ribosomal RNA
Source: RNAcentral